Silurus meridionalis is the source of this 1812-nucleotide RNA transcript. It is a transcript of the gene named RAD51 paralog D, with no coding region annotated. Lineage: Eukaryota; Metazoa; Chordata; Actinopteri; Siluriformes; Siluridae. The record is from RefSeq and is a predicted model, not a curated record. The transcript has 13 exons.
AUUGGCUGUUAUGGCUUUACGAAAAAGAAAGCGUAAAUGCAAUUGGCUGGAUUUACUGUCAGUUUACUGAUCUGGAACGCGAAGAGGCGCGAGCUUAGAAGAUAGAUGUAAAUUCUUGCACCGGAAGUACCAUGGUGCUCCUAAGGGCAGGUCUGUGUCCAGGGUUGAGUGAAGACCUCAUUAAAGCUCUACUUGAAGGAGCUGUUAGAACAGUUGAGGACCUUGUCCUGUCUGAUCCAGAACAUCUGGCCCAGAAAUGCUCAGUGUCCUACAAGGCCUUGGUGGCAGUUCGGCGUGUUCUUCUGGCACAGCAUGCGGCGUUUCCUAUCUCAGGAGCCGACCUGUACGAUGAGCUGCUGAGCUCCACUUCUAUCCUCUCCACAGGAAUUACCAGUGUGGACAAUCUGCUUGACUCUGGACUGUACACAGGAGAAAUUACUGAAGUGUGUGGAGGACCAGGAACAGGCAAAACACAGAUCUGCUUCAGUGUCGCUGUCAGCGUUGCGCAUGAGCUGAAGCAGAACGUAACCUACAUCGACACAAACGGAGGAAUAUGUGCUAACCGGCUGCUCCAGAUGCUUCAGGAGAAAACCAUGGAUUCAGCAGAGCAGAUGAACGCUCUUCAGAGGAUCGGCGUGUUCAGAGCGUUCGACGUCUUCGCCUUGCUGUCCUGCCUUCAAAAUCUAAGAGCCAACAGUCUCCAGAUGGGAACUGUUGGUAGCGGUUCAGUCAAAGUCGUGAUCGUGGAUUCCGUGUCGGCCGUCCUCUCCCAUAUGCUUGGAGGAAAACAGAACGAAGGCAUGUCCCUGAUGAUGCAGGUGGCUACAGAGCUGAAAACGAUCGCCAAGGAUCUUAACGUCGCCAUUCUGGUGAGCAAUCAUGUAACACGUGAUGGGAACAAUCAGCUGAAGGCGGGACUGGGGCAGUCAUGGAGCCACGUUCCACGCACGCGUAUCCUCCUGCAGCGAGGGGAGCAGCCUGGAGCUUCCUCAAGCCUACGCACGGCCACAAUCCUAAAAUCAUCACGACAGCCCUGCUACUUGAUGGAGGAGUUUAAUUUGAGUCCUCAACCUCAGGAAGAGUCACAGACUGGGUUUGCUGGGAAGAGAAAAUUGGACACCGAUUCAUAACAAGCUACAGUGCAACUUUUAGACUCCAGCCAAGAUCAGGCUGGAUUUUGCAUGAUGGCUGCACACGGGCAUUUCCGUGCUUUAGGUUCAGUCCAUAUAGCAAAUGUUAGAAUUCGAGCUGAAGCCCAGCGAAGACCUGGACCCCAGAUCCAGUCGGCGGUGACUUUCAGGGCCCGGCUGCCCUCCUCGGGGUCCGCUAGGGUGUGCGUCGCGGAGGCGGCGGCGUAAUCGGGAACGAGGUCGCCGUUGUACGCCAAGAAGUAGCGCCUCAGCUUUUCGAAGUCCUUCACCGAUCCCGGGAGAUGCAGCUUCACUCCGCCGAAGAUGUCCAGCAGAGUCUGCAAAAAGAUGAAGUGCAAAUGAUUCAUUCAACAAGUGGAGAAAACACGGCAGGGCACGGUGUAGGAAAGGAAUGUUUUAUUACUAUUAUCUAUAGUGAAUUGCUACUGUGUACGUCGUUCAUCUUUUGGUGGGGAAGGUACAUAAAAUUUACAGUUCGGUUCAUACCUUGGGUUUUUAAUCACUGUUCGGUUCAAUUUCGGUACGGUUAGAGAGAAGAAAUGUAUAACAUAAAAUUGCUUGUAGUUUUUUAUUAUUAUUAACACAGUUUAAUAUUAACAUUUGUGAUUAUCCACAAUUAAAAUUUUGAAAACAAUUUUAAAUAAAAUGCUUGGUUAAAUAA